UUUAGAUGAGAAAUUACUUAGGACUAACUAGCAGAGUUUUGGGUAAGAUCUGAGCACACUACAGAAUCAUGAGAGGCAGGAAAGCUUUGUGUGGAACCUGAGCAGUCCCAGUCAAUGGACAUGUAAGGCACCUAAGAAAUACCGAUUCCCAGGCCUCACUCCCUGGAGACUGGGGUAGUAAAUCUGGGAUGGGGCCAGGAAUUAAAAUUUCCAAAUGAUUUUAAACAGCCAGAUUUGAACACCACUGGUGGUGUAUGGGUUAUGCGAAACAUGGUCCUGGGAGA
This 284-nucleotide long non-coding RNA is filed under the name Homo sapiens (human). Its description in RNAcentral is "HSALNT0140600". Lineage: Eukaryota; Metazoa; Chordata; Mammalia; Primates; Hominidae. The record is from RNAcentral.